RNAcentral lists this long non-coding RNA (1322 nucleotides) under Mustela putorius furo (domestic ferret). Its description in RNAcentral is "lncRNA (ENSMPUG00000029442.1)". The record is from RNAcentral. Lineage: Eukaryota; Metazoa; Chordata; Mammalia; Carnivora; Mustelidae.
CCUUCCCCCACCUCUGAGGAAGGAAGGAAAUAGCAGGGCGGGUAGAGAGGGCAGAAGCCAGUGGUACAGACGGGUUCAGAGACAAUGAGAACAAAAAUAAGUGGAACAGGAAACAAAGGUGGGUGAUAACUUCCCCUGAGAUAUUACCUGCCUUUCUACAGGGUGGACACGUAAUGAUCACAUUUUAUAUUAACCGUACCCACCAGAAAAGGAAGGCAGUUACCUCAUCUUAUAGCUUGGGAAGGAGAAACUUUAAAAUCCUCAGCAUCCACCUCCAAACUCAGCCCACGGUCUCCAAGAAUGUGCUGCCUGCCGUGUGCUGAAAUGUCAAGGCUGGAUCCUUGCGACAAGACACAGUCUGUGUCCUCAGAGAGUGCACUGCGGAGGGGUGAAGGGACCUGACACAAUAGAGCCAGACACAAGCUGAGACAGGCUGAGGUCCCCCACCGUACCCCCCAGAAGGCAGGACGGCGCUCUCUGGGCUGGGGCCUAGCACCCAACAUGGCACCUGCCCCAACACCGGCUCCAGAGUCUUCUUUUUAAUGAAUGGAAUGAACAAAUGUAACAAAGGGGUGAAAAGCUCAAGUUCCAAAGAAGGGGAGUGGGGAGAAAGUGCCACAGAAGAAAGUGACUCACUAAGAACCACUGUGCCAAGAAUGACAAGUUCUGGAACAACAGAACUCGGGGAUUUACAUCCAACACAAGGAAAAAUGGCAGGAACAUGCGGCAGGGAAAGAGGAGUCAUUUCUGAUGCAGGGAGUAGCUGUGGUCUACCCCAUAACCACCCUGGAAGUCGAACGUGGAAUGCUGAGGGCGACAAAGCCAUGAGAAAAAGAGACUCCUCCAACACCCUGAAAUAUCGCACACCAGCUCUCAUUCGUGCCAUUUGUCCAUUCUGUACUCUUGUCCUACCGUCUGUAUAGGCUUGGUUUCUGUGUUGCCCAUCUCUGAUUCAUUUUAUGUCACAAUGUUUGGGAGAGUGUGGGAUACACUCAGUGAUUAAAAUGCUUUGGAUUUAUGGAAGGAAAAAAUUCAAGUCUUUUUAAAUAAAUAGCACAACAGCAUAUACUAUAUAUCCUAAUAGCUCUGGGAUUAGAAAAUAAAACUGAGUUUGCAAUAUGAUUUGGAUAAUCAGAGUUCUUUUUACACAUAAAUUUACAUGUAUUCAUUUCUAUGUAAAUGCCAUAUUCUGUAAGUUUAUACUUAAUUUCUGCUAUCAUUUUUUGUGCAAAAAAAAAGGUCAGCAUUUUAAGUAACAAUAUAAGGGACAGAAAAUAUUACACAUGGGUAUGAUACACAUAUCCAAUUAUAAUAAAUGGGCA